Homo sapiens (human) is the source of this 751-nucleotide long non-coding RNA. The record is from Ensembl. Lineage: Eukaryota; Metazoa; Chordata; Mammalia; Primates; Hominidae.
AGCUCUUUCCACCCGAGCGCGAGGUAGACGCCGGGGCCACCCGCAGCACGCAGAGCUUCUGGGAGCCGGUGGCAAGGCCGAAUUGGGAUGCAAACCAAAUGGACGUGGGUGACUGGCAGAAAACGCCUCCCACAAAUGGGAGGGAUUUCGGAGGGAACCGAAAGAAAGUUGGAACUACUACAGCCACCCCAACCUUGAGCAACCAUCACUCUGAUCAAUCAGCAGCCAUCAACAUUGAGACAAGACUCUCCACCAGCAAAAAGAUUAUGACUUGUCCGGGUGCGGUGGCUCACACCUGUAAUCCCAGCACUUUGGGAGGCUGAGGCAGACAGAUCAUCUGAGGUCAGGAGUUCGAGACCAGCCUGACCAACAUUGUGAAACCUGUCUCUACUAAAAAUACAAAAAAUUAGCCGGGCAUGGUGGUAGGCACCUAUAAUCUCAGCUAUUUGUAAGGCUGAAGCAGGAGAAUUGCUUGAACCUGGGAGGUGGAGGUUGCAGUGAGCCGAGAUCACAUCAUUGCACUCCAGCCUGGGCAACAAGAGCAAAACUCCGUCUAAAAAAAAUAUAUAUAUAUAUAUGACUCACUGAAGGCCCACAUGAUCAUUCGCAAUUUUUAGCCAUAACGUAUUUUUAAAAUUAAAGUAUAUACAUUGAUGUUUUAGACAUAAUGGCAUUGUACUCUUAUUAGACUACAGCAUAGGGUAAACAUAACUCCUCUAUGCACUGGGAAAUAAAAAAAUCUGUGACUCAC